Molecule: ribosomal RNA, 399 nt
Filed under: uncultured Actinomycetes bacterium
Lineage: Bacteria; Bacillati; Actinomycetota; Actinomycetes
Description: bacterial SSU rRNA
Rfam family: Bacterial small subunit ribosomal RNA
Source: RNAcentral
GAGUUUGAUCCUGGCUCAGGACGAACGCUGGCGGCGUGCUUAACACAUGCAAGUCGAGCGGAAAGGCCCUUCGGGGUACUCGAGCGGCGAACGGGUGAGUAACACGUGAGCAACCUGCCCUUGGCUUUGGGAUAACCCUCGGAAACGGGGGCGUAAUACCGGAUAUGACAUCUGAUCGCAUGGUUGGGUGUGGAAAGUUCUUCGGCCAGGGAUGGGCUCGCGGCCUAUCAGCUUGUUGGUGGGGUGAUGGCCUACCAAGGCUUCGACGGGUAGCCGGCCUGAGAGGGCGACCGGCCACACUGGGACUGAGACACGGCCCAGACUCCUACGGGAGGCAGCAGUGGGGAAUAUUGCACAAUGGGCGAAAGCCUGAUGCAGCGACGCCGCGUGAGGGAUGAC